This is a long non-coding RNA of Oncorhynchus tshawytscha (Chinook salmon), 1558 nucleotides long. The record is from Ensembl. Lineage: Eukaryota; Metazoa; Chordata; Actinopteri; Salmoniformes; Salmonidae.
GACAGGCGUUCGGUUGUGAUAUUCACAGUUCUGACCGAGAGAAACAGGAAGGAGAACGCUUCUGAAAGUGCCAUGUGUUCAAAGUGUCGUCCCACUGUUUUUCAGCAUGCAUCUAUUCUGAUAUAACCUACAUUUCCUGGGAAAGGAUCCUGGCCUCUUCUUCCCUGGAAUCACGAAGCUGUCACUGCAGUCUUCAAUGAAUCACACACAGCACGAGCAGUACGGCUGGUGGCAUUGUCAUGCUGGAGGGUCAUGUCAGGAUGAGCCUGGGGUACCACAUGAGGGAGGAGGAUGUCUUCCCUGUAACGCACAGUGUUGAGAUAGCCUGUAAUUACAACAAGCUCAGUUCGAUGAUGCUGUGACACACCGUCCCAGACCAUGACGGACCCUCCACCUCCAAAUCGAUCCCGCUCCAGAGUACAGGCCUCGGUGUAACGCUCAUUCCUUCGACGAUAAACGCGAAUUCGACCAUCGCCCAUGGAGAGACAAAACCGCGACUCGUCAGUGAAGAGCAUUUUUUGCCAGUCCUGUCUGGUCCAGCAACGAUUGGCGGUGAUGUCUGGUGAGGACCAGCCUUUACAACAGGCUUACAAGCCCUCAGUCCAGCCUCUCUCAGUCUGAGCAGUGAUGGAGGGAUUGUGCGUUCCUGGUGUUGUUGUCAUCUUGUACCUGUCCAGCAGGUGUGAUGUUCGGAUGUACCGAUCCUGUGCAGGUGUUGUUACACGUGGUCUGCAACUGCGAGGACGAUCAGUUGUCCGUCUUAUCACCCUGUAGCACUGUCUUAGGCGUCUCAUAGUAUGGACAUUACAUUUUAUUGCCCUGGCCACAUCUGCAGUCCUCAUGCCUCCUUGCAGCAUGCCUAAGACACGUUCACGCAGAUGUGCAGGGACUAUGUGCAUCUUUAUUUUGGUGUUUUCAGAGUCAGUAGAAAGGCCCCUUUAGUGUCCUAAGUUUUCAUAAUUGUGAUCUUAAUUGCCUACCGUCUGUAAGCUGUUAGUGUUUUAAACACCGUUCCACAAGUGCAUGUUUAUUAAUUGUUUAUGGGUCAUUGAACAAGCAUGGGAAACAGUGUUAAACCCUUUACAAUGAAGAUAUGUGAAGUUAUUUGUAUUUUUACGAAUUAUCGUUGAAAGACAGUGUCCUAGAAAAGGGACGUUUCUUUUUUUGCUGAGUUUAGUUUCAAUGUGGAUAGAUGGCAAACAGAAUAUUACUCUCCAUAUGUCUCUCCUCACUCUCUCUGUGUCUAUUAUUGUGUCUAGUCUAAUUCAUUAGUCCUCUCUGUCUCUUCUUGACUACUCUAAUUCAUUAGUCCUCUCUGUGUCCUCUCCUAUGCUUAGUCUAAUUCAUUAGUCCUCUCCGUGUCUCUUCUUGUGCUUUGUCUAAUUCAUUAGUCCUCUCUGUGUCUCUUCUUGUGCUUUGUCUAAUUCAUUAGUCCUCUCUGUGUCCUCUCCUAUGCUUAGUCUAAUUCAUUAGUCCUCUCUGUCUCUUCUUGACUACUCUAAUUCAUUAGUCCUCUCUGUGUCCUCUCCUAUGCUUUGUCUAAUUCAUUAGUCCUCUC